CACGUAGUUAGCCGUGGCUUAUUCAAGAGGUACCGUCUUCUGCUCUUCCCUCUUAAAAGAAGUUUACAACCCGAAAGCCUUCUUCCUUCACGCGGCGUUGCUGGGUCAGGCUUGCGCCCAUUGCCCCAUAUUCCCCACUGCUGCCUCCCGUAGGAGUCUGGGCCGUAUCUCAGUCCCAAUGUGGCCGGUCAACCUCUCAGUCCGGCUACUGAUCGUCGCCUAGGUGGGCCGUUACCCCGCUACCAGCUAAUCAGACGCGAGGCCAUCUUCCAGCGAUAAAUCUUUGGUGUCUCGAUGAUGCCAUCGAAACACAUCAUGCGGUAUUAGCAGUCGUUUCCAACUGUUGUCCCCUCUGGAAGGCAGGUUCCUCACGCGUUACUCACCAGUCCGCCACUAAGCAUUCCCUUCCAUUGUCCGAAAACUCUUUCAGGGGUGCUCCGUUCGACUUGCAUGUGUUAAGCACGCCGCCAGCGUUCGUCCUCGUACGCGACGGAUCGAAACUCUACUGUAACG
RNAcentral lists this ribosomal RNA (513 nucleotides) under uncultured Oscillibacter sp. RNAcentral describes it as "partial 16S ribosomal RNA". Lineage: Bacteria; Bacillati; Bacillota; Clostridia; Eubacteriales; Oscillospiraceae. The record is from RNAcentral.